ACUUCCGGCCACGGUGCAGAGCGGCAUGGACGGGCCAGACGUGGCACUGUGUCCUGACUGGAAGAUCCUUUCGUGGCACCCGUGGACCCUAAGGCUGGUACCAGUCAGUGUGGGAUAAGAUUCAGAGAGACAAAGUUCCCAGAUAUUGUCUGUUUGGAGAAUGCUCAUUUGCUUGGUCUAGAUUGUUUGUGUUUUGAUUUCCCUCUUCUUAUAUUCACAUCACCUGAGGGUCUUCUGAGACAUAUACUAGGUGGCUAGAUGACUAACGAAUAUUAUUCCAUGACUAAGAAGGGGUCAAUGUGCUAUUGUAACACAGCAUGGCCUGCACAUAUGUUAGACUCCAGUGAUAGAUGGUCUCUUAACAAUUACUUAUUAUCAUACAAUUUUACAUUUGGGGUCAUUUUAUAAAAGAUCAAAUAAAUGGGAUGGAAUCCCUUACAUACAA
Marmota monax (woodchuck) is the source of this 445-nucleotide long non-coding RNA. RefSeq lists it as uncharacterized. The record is from RefSeq and is a predicted model, not a curated record. Lineage: Eukaryota; Metazoa; Chordata; Mammalia; Rodentia; Sciuridae. The transcript is spliced from 2 exons.